RNAcentral lists this ribosomal RNA (253 nucleotides) under uncultured bacterium. RNAcentral's name for it is "partial 16S ribosomal RNA". It matches the Rfam family "Bacterial small subunit ribosomal RNA", at positions 524 to 776 of the family's 1533-position model. The record is from RNAcentral.
UACAGAGGGUGCAAGCGUUAAUCGGAAUUACUGGGCGUAAAGCGUGCGUAGGUGGUUUUUUAAGUCAGGUGUGAAAUCCCUGGGCUCAACCUGGGAACUGCAUUUGAUACUGGAAAGCUAGAGUGUGGUAGAGGAUGGUGGAAUUCCCGGUGUAGCGGUGAAAUGCGUAGAUAUCGGGAGGAACAUCAGUGGUGAAGGCGGCCAUCUGGACCAACACUGACACUGAGGCACAAAAGCGUGGGGAGCAAACAGG